Molecule: ribosomal RNA, 402 nt
Filed under: uncultured bacterium
Lineage: Bacteria
Description: bacterial SSU rRNA
Rfam family: Bacterial small subunit ribosomal RNA
Source: RNAcentral
AGGGAAUAUUAGAAAUGGACGAAAGUCUGAUCUAGCAACACCGCGUGUGCGAAGAAGGCCUUCGGGUCGUAAAGCACUUUUUGGAAGGAAUAGGAAGGAAUGUACUUCCAGAAUAAGUCUCGGCUAACUACGUGCCAGCAGCCGCGGUAACACGUAGGAGGCAAACGUUAUCCGGAUUUACUGGGCGUAAAGCGCGUGUAGGUGGUACUGUAAGUAGGGCGUGAAAGCUCCCGGCUCAACUGGGAGAGGCCGUUCUAAACUACAGAACUAGAGGAUGGUAGAGGGAGGUGGAAUUCCAGGUGUAGCGGUGGAAUGCGCAGAUGUCUGGAGGAACACCGGUGGCGAAGGCGGCCUCCUGGACCAUUCCUGACACUCAGACGCGAAAGCUAGGGUAGCAAACGG